Molecule: unclassified non-coding RNA, 165 nt
Filed under: soil metagenome
Description: partial internal transcribed spacer 1
Source: RNAcentral
GCGAGUAAGACCCUGCCUUAGUGGCUCGGUCAGUCCCAUCAUAUACACCUUUAUUCGUGAACUCGUGGUUCAGCUGGACGAUGAAAGCUUUGGCGACUAGCCGUCCGUCGGUUCCGCUCUUUAUACCCUUUAUGUGAAGUCAAUGGAAAUUAUGAUAAUCUAAUA